AUUGUAUAUUUGCUAGUUAAUUUUAUUUGUUAUUUUUAAUUAAUUGAAUUGUUUUAUUGAAUAGGGAAUUAAUUGGAGAUUGGAAAUAAAAAGUGCAAAAAGAAUAAUAAUUUGGGGAAAUAUUAGUUGAAGUUGUGAUAGAGUUAAGAGCCAAGAGCAAUUUGCAUUGAAAAAGAAUUUCAAUUCUCCAAUUGAGUUGCACGUCCAUAGCAUUGCAAAAGGGGAAAGCAAUUUAAAUGGGGCCCACACUUGACUUUCAAAAGUGGAAUUAAUGGCUGGCGUUAUUAUGGAAGCUUUGUUUCAUAAUUGGAAAAGGAUUUUAAUUAGUAGACAAAGAGGAUUCGGUGGCUAAGCAUUAUAAAAUAGAGUUUUGGCUUUUGAAUGAGGGUGGCCGCCAGAGGAGGAGAAAAAGGCUGGAAGAGAGCAGUUGCAGCAGCAAUAUUUCGGCUUCCCAUGGCUGAUUUUAUUUCUUUUGUUGCUCCCAAUUCAAGUAUGUCCAGCUAAUUUUCUUAUACUGAGGUUAAAGAUGAAACCCUAUUCAAUGAAAUAAUUAUUUUUUUAUUUAUUUAUUUAAUUCCCAUAUAUGUUCUUUAAUGAUUAUGGUUUUUAUUUCACAUGAUUAAUUGGAUGUUAAUAAAAUCUUUUCAUCAAUUCUGUCAUGCAUUAUUGAUUGUUAAGAUUAAUAUUCGAUUAAUUCUAUGCUUGGAUCUAUAAAGUUUAUACAUGAUUAUCUUUGAUUUUAUGUCUUUCAUUAAAUUGUUUACAUGGAGUGCUUAGGAAACUUUGACUCUUUGUUAUUCAAUAUGUUUACAUGAGAUUCUUAGAUGUCAUAUUAUUAAGCAGAAAAAGAACCUACAUUAGAUUUAAUUACUUGGGCUUAAUUGUUAUAUCCAUGAGAUGACAUAGAUUGAUUUCGAGUUGUCACUCCAAAAUUGGGGAUUAAUUAAUAAUUAGAUAAUUAUUAGUUGAAUAGUGGUGGAUUCUGAAACCUUGGUAAUUCUUAUCUUAUUGAAUUCUCCUUUAUUUUAAUUGCUUCUUUAGUUUAAUUGGUUUAAUUUUCUUAAAAACUCAAUUUGUUCAACUAGGUUAGAAUUAAUAUUAAUUUUAGAUUUAAAUUAGACUUUUUAAUUUAUAACAAUCCUUGUAGGAUCGACCUCGUUAACACUAUUCUAUUUCUAGAUUCGUGCGCUUGCGAGUAUAUUAAAAUUUUCACAACAAGAAGUGAAGCCGACAUGUGGAGAAGCGGUGAAGCAGGCAGCUGAAAUGAUGAAGCAUGCAGCUUGGUCGCGCAAAAUUAAUGACCCAUGCUGGCUGUUAUUUAUUUAUUUUUUUUCCAAGCAAUGCAUGGCAAUAAAUCACCAAGUAUGAACGUAUCCAAGAAACACAAUAGAUAGUCAGUUAAACAAGAAGCAUGAUAUCUG
Molecule: long non-coding RNA, 1421 nt
Filed under: Citrus maxima (pomelo)
Lineage: Eukaryota; Viridiplantae; Streptophyta; Magnoliopsida; Sapindales; Rutaceae
Description: long non-coding RNA (CMAX_LNC002747)
Source: RNAcentral